CUGCGCCCCAGUGGCCAUGUUGAGUGUUUGUGUCGCAGGCGAAUUCAGGGAAGCCUUGCUCUUUUCCUGAAUUAAACAGCUGGAUGAAGCUGGACUUUGCCUCCCAAGCACGUUGGUCUGACCUACGCUGAUGCCUGCUGCUGCUGACACUCACCAGCAUCUUGAGCAUCAUAUGGCCUAUCCUCAGCACCAGGGAAAGACAGGGCCUCCACGGCCGGGCCCUCAUCAUGGACCUCAACAUCAUUCGUCACAUCCACCCUCUGGCUCAUAUGGCCCACAGUCAGGCCAUGCUAAUCAUGUGGGUUAUAACCAUCAUGGGCCAAUGGGGCAACAUGCCAUACCAGGACAACGAGGUCAGCCUGGACAGCAUGGUCCUCCUCAGCAGAAUGGACCUCAAAUAAACCUGGGUCAACACAGGUCUCAAAUAGGGUCAGCUGCUCAACUUGGAGCUGGACAGCAUGGACAUCCAGGGCCACCAGGACCCAUGGGACCAGCUGGGCAACAUGUCCCACUAAGUUCUCAUGGAAGUUCAUUGUUACAUGGUCCUCAAGGGAAUCAUGGCCCUCAUGGAGUACCAAAUCAGAGAGUUCCUCCUGGAUCUCACAUCCAGGCAGUGCCACCAGCCAUACAGCACAAAGGCCCUGCACCACAUGGUCAAUAUGGUGCACAUAUCCCACACUCCACCAACAUUGGUAGUACACGUGGCCAUCUGGAUGGACCUGGCAAUGAAGUGAGGCAACCUCCAGCAUAUCCAGAACCUCCACGUUACCCAGGUCCUCAGAAUGUGCAUGAGGAUAUGGACAAACACAUGAGCCAAGUGCCAACUCACAAUGGACAGCCAGCACAGACAAUUAAGCAAUACUCUGGAGCCCAGGGGUCUGGUGGAGGGGGAGGAAUGAAUGGGGGAGGGGCUUCAAUGAACAGUGGUGAUCUAGGAAGGCUAGAGGAGGAACUUAGUCAACUCAGUAGAAAGGAUCUAGUGGCAAGGACAAUGCGGGCAGAAGGGGAAGCAAGAGAGCUCCAGCAUUCAAUUCAUGUACAGGCAGGGGAGCUGAGGCACCUGCGGGAGAAUCAACAACGACUCACUGAUGACAACCAGGAACUGCGUGACUUGUGUUGUUUCCUGGAUGAUGAUCGACAGAAGGGACGGAAACUUGCCAGAGAAUGGCAGAGAUUUGGCCGCUAUACUGCCUCUGUUAUGAGACAGGAAGUCACAGCCUACCAGAAUAAAUUACGGGAACUAGAUACCAAACAACAGGAGCUCAUUAAAGAUAAUUUAGAGUUAAAGGAAUUGUGUUUAUACCUUGAUGAAGAAAGAAACAAUGCUGCUUGCAGUCAUUGUGGACAUCCCCUCAUCACGCGAGAUGAUGGGGAUGGAUCGUCAUCUUCAACCAAUGCUGAUGAACCCUCAGGGCCCCCACAGUCCACUUCAGAUUCAGCCCCAACCCAGAGUCAGUCUUCAGAAAUUCCACUGGCACGUUCAUCCUCCAGAGAGAGACUAUUAGAAGAUACCCUAUCCCGUCAGAGAUCUCCAAUGAAUGAACAAGUAAUGUCUUAUAUAAGGUCAUUAGAAGCAAGAGUAAUGAUGUUAGAGACAGAAAAGCAACAGCUUGGUGAGGAACUUUCAAAGAUGGAUCGGAUCCACCCUGAAGGAGAAGGUUUGGAGUCACAGCUUCCCACUAAAGAGAAAUCUGUUGGUUCUCGCCCACCUCAGCCCCCACCUUAUUCACUCUCGCAUCAUCUACGUGCAGUUGGGUUAGGACUCACCAACAGAACUCCAUUAGGCCCAGGUUCAGCAGAAAGUGAUGAUGAGCUCCUGGAUGGACCUCCACCACCGUUGGUGUCCCGUCCAACAGCAGUUGCAGCUGCUAUGAGAGUUUUGGAAGUGCAGGAACAGCUAGAGGGUGCUUCACAUCCUCCUGCAGCCCCUCCUCCCUCACAAGGUCCCCCACCACCACCACAUUCCUCCAACACAGGAAGCCAACUCAGUGCCCAGGAUGCAGCUUUGGCAGAUGGGGAAAAGGCACUUCUCAGGCAAAUGUGCAAUGUUGUGUGGAAGAAGCUAGAAGAGGUACCAAGUCAGCACAGAUAACAAGAUGUGCAGUGCAUCCUUGCCUCUCCAUUUUCUCAUUUCCUUUCCUUCUUUCUCUGCAGUUGUCUCACCCUACUCUCUCCUUAUCUCCUCCCCUUGCUCUUCCCUCUCAUCUCCUUCCUGCUUCUCCCUUUCCUUUGCCUUGCCCCUUUCUACACUUUACUGCAUUCUCACCCCAAUCCUUUUUUAUUCUUCUGUCUUAUUUCUUUCUGUGAACCAUUUGUAAUAUUCCAGUGAUGGAAAAUGAAGUGCCAGGUGUAUGAAACAGGAUAGCAGAAGAAGCAACUGCAGGCAGUGCUUGUGUACAAUUGAAAGUUAUUUACAAAAGUAACUAUGAAAGUGAGGUGUUCUGUAAACUCUUUUUCUUGGAUUCUUUGUCUUAGUUGCUGUUUGCAGCAAAAAGGGAAAGUCAGCUAGAUUUACAAGGAUAAUAUAAGAGCACUACCCAGGUCUUGACUUUUUCUAGUUUUGUUUUACACUUAUCUAAAACUGAGAAUGUAUUUUGAUCUAUGAAUAGCACCAAUCUUUGAUGUACAUGCUGAAAUAGGUCUUUUCAAAUUCACAGAAGAGUUGGGUCCAUGUCUUGCCAAAGAAAAUAUAUUAGAUUUUUUUUUUUUUAGAUCUUGAAACAUUUUUAUAGGGAACUAAUCCAUUUGAGUCAGGCAUUGCUAACCUAGUACAGACAGUUAGGAAAAUUAGUAUAAUAUAGGAAUACAGUAUAGAACUUAAGUAGAACUUAAACACCACAUGAUAUAUCUUGGCCCAAAUCUUUGAUUAUAGUAUAAACUAUUAUUUUCCUUUUGUCCAUUGGUUCUGAAAUAUACUGAACCACAAAAGAUGUAUGGUGGGAGUUUGGUUUGCUGUUAUCUUAUUUAAUCAGAUAUUUUUUUUUCCCCUUUUACAAAUUGAGUUACGACCAUUCAUACUUGACCGUGGUAGAAUGUCCUUUUUUGCUGAAGAUAGCUCAAGCAGGCUUAUGGAAACUUUGUCCAGCCUUCACAACUUUUGAUUCUCACUCUUCAGGUGCCAAAGAAAGCUGAGUACAUGUGUACAUGCACAUGUGCAUAGGGACAUGUGAGGGUUUGUGGACAUACCCAUGUCAUAUGUGAGCUUGUGUAUGGCAUGCAUGUGGGCAUGUGCAUUUUUAUAUGUUUCUUUGUGUGGUUAAGUGCAAGUGUAAUUGUGACUGUGUGUGUGCUUUCACAUUCAAAUGUGUAUGAUUGUACCUGCCAUUAUGUUUUUAAACAGAUUCAAGUGAUGUGUUGAGGGUUAGGAUUUAUAUAGAUAUGUGCAUGCCCUCCCUCUCCCCACAAAA
RNAcentral lists this unclassified non-coding RNA (3407 nucleotides) under Penaeus chinensis. Its description in RNAcentral is "coiled-coil domain-containing protein 85C-like, transcript variant X1". The record is from RNAcentral. Lineage: Eukaryota; Metazoa; Arthropoda; Malacostraca; Decapoda; Penaeidae.